UCCUACGGGAGGCAGCAGUGGGGAAUAUUGGACAAUGGGCGAAAGCCUGAUCCAGCAAUGCCGCGUGUGUGAUGAAGGCCUUAGGGUUGUAAAGCACUUUCAAUAGGGAAGAAGAAUAUUGCAUUAAUACUGUGGUAUUUUGACGUUACCUAUAAAAGAAGCACCGGCUAACUCUGUGCCAGCAGCCGCGGUAAUACAGAGGGUGCAAGCGUUAAUCGGAAUUAUUGGGCGUAAAGCGCUCGUAGGUGGAAAUUUAAGUCAAAUGUAAAAGCCCUGGGCUCAACCUGGGAACCGCAUUUGAUACUGGGUUUCUUGAGUAUGGUAGAGGGAAGUGGAAUUUCCGGUGUAGCGGUGAAAUGCAUAGAUAUCGGAAGGAACAUCAAUGGCGAAGGCAACUUCCUGGGCCAAUACUGACACUGAGGAGCGAAAGCAUGGGUAGCAAACAGGAUUAGAUACCCUGGUAGUCCAUGCUGUAAACGAUGAGAACUAGAUGUCGGAGAUUUAUCUUCGGUAUCGCAGCUAACGCAUUAAGUUCUCCGCCUGGGGAGUACGACCGCAAGGUUAAAACUCAAAGGAAUUGACGGGGGCCCGCACAAGCGGUGGAACAUGUGGUUUAAUUCGAGGAUACGCGAAAAACCUUACCUACCCUUGACAUCCCUGGAAUUAUCUAGCAGUAGAUAAGUGCUUUCGAGAACCAGGAGACAGGUGUUGCAUGGCUGUCGUCAGCUCGUGUCUUGAGAUGUUGGGUUAAGUCCCGUAACGAGCGCAACCCUCGUCCUUAGUUGCCAGCACGUCAUGGUGGGGACUCUAAGGAGACUGCCGGUGAUAAAUCGGAGGAAGGUGAGGAUGAGGUCAAGUCAUCAUGGCCCUUAUGGGUAGGGCUACACACGUGUUACAAUGGACAGUACAAUGGGAAGCAAAGCCGCGAGGUGGAGCAAAACCUUUAAAGCUGUUCUCAGUCCGGAUUGGAGUCUGCAACUCGACUUCAUGAAGUCGGAAUCGCUAGUAAUCGUGAAUCAGCAUGUCACGGUGAAUACGUUCUCGGGCCUUGUACACACCGCCCGUCAAACCAUGGGAGUAGGUUGCACCAGAAGUGGGUAGACUAACCGCAAGGAGGUCGCUUACCACGGUGUGAUUUAUGACUAGGGUUAAGUCGAAACAAGGUAGCCG
Molecule: ribosomal RNA, 1170 nt
Filed under: metagenome
Description: bacterial SSU rRNA
Rfam family: Bacterial small subunit ribosomal RNA
Source: RNAcentral